AAAGAUUAAGCCAUGCAUGUCUAAGUAUAAGCAAUUAUACAGCGAAACUGCGAAUGGCUCAUUAAAUCAGUUAUCGUUUAUUUGAUAGUACCUUACUACAUGGAUAACCGUGGUAAUUCUAGAGCUAAUACAUGCUGAAAAUCCCGACUUCGGAAGGGAUGUAUUUAUUAGAUUAAAAACCAAUGCCCUUCGGGGCUCCUUGGUGAUUCAUAAUAACUUCUCGAAUCGCACGGCCUUGCGCCGGCGAUGGUUCAUUCAAAUUUCUGCCCUAUCAACUUUCGACGGCUGGGUCUUGGCCAGCCAUGGUGA
Molecule: ribosomal RNA, 309 nt
Filed under: uncultured fungus
Lineage: Eukaryota; Fungi
Description: SSU rRNA
Rfam family: Eukaryotic small subunit ribosomal RNA
Source: RNAcentral